GGAGGUCCGAACCCACGAGCGUUGAAAAGCUCGGGGAUGACUUGUGGGUAGCGGUGAAAUUCCAAUCGAGCCCGGAGAUAGCUGGUUCUCCCCGAAAUAGCUUUAGGGCUAGCCUCAAGGUGAGAGAGACGGAGGUAGAGCACUGAAUGUCCUAGGGGGUAUUGCACCUACCGAAGACUAUCAAACUCCGAAUGCCGUCAUCU
This 203-nucleotide ribosomal RNA is filed under the name Clostridioides difficile. Its description in RNAcentral is "partial 23S ribosomal RNA". It matches the Rfam family "Bacterial large subunit ribosomal RNA", at positions 768 to 971 of the family's 2925-position model. The record is from RNAcentral. Lineage: Bacteria; Bacillati; Bacillota; Clostridia; Peptostreptococcales; Peptostreptococcaceae.